RNAcentral lists this ribosomal RNA (547 nucleotides) under Suhomyces sp. Its description in RNAcentral is "LSU rRNA". It matches the Rfam family "Eukaryotic large subunit ribosomal RNA", at positions 62 to 635 of the family's 3401-position model. The record is from RNAcentral. Lineage: Eukaryota; Fungi; Ascomycota; Pichiomycetes; Serinales; Debaryomycetaceae.
AAACCAACCGGGAUUGCCUCAGUAACGGCGAGUGAAGCGGCAAAAGCUCAAAUUUGAAAUCUGGCCCUGUGGUCCGAAUUGUAAUUUGAAGAAGCGACUCUGGUACCGGCCCUUGUCUAUGUUCCUUGGAACAGGACGUCACAGAGGGUGAGAAUCCCGUGCGAUGGGGAGUCCGGAGCCAUGUAGAGCGUUUUCGACGAGUCGAGUUGUUUGGGAAUGCAGCUCUAAGUGGGUGGUAAAUUCCAUCUAAAGCUAAAUACAGGCGAGAGACCGAUAGCGAACAAGUACUGUGAAGGAAAGAUGAAAAGAACUUUGAAAAGAGAGUGAAAAAGUACGUGAAAUUGUUGAAAGGGAAGGGCUUGGGAUCAGACUUUGUAUUUCCAUGGCGUUCUUUCGGGAGCGUCCUCUGGGUUUACGGGGCCAGCAUGGGUUCUGCGGGCAAGACAAGGGGGCCAGGAACGUGGCUCUGCUUCGGCGGAGUGUUAUAGCCUGGUCUUUCGGUUGCCACGCGGGACUGAGGACUGCGAAUCUAGGAUGCUGGCAUAAU